AUACGUAGGGGGCGAGCGUUGUCCGGAAUGAUUGGGCGUAAAGGGCGCGUAGGCGGCGCGGUAAGUCUGGAGUGAAAGUCCUGCUUUCAAGGUGGGAAUUGCUUUGGAUACUGCCGCGCUUGAGUGCAGGAGAGGUUAUCGGAAUUCCCGGUGUAGCGGUGAAAUGCGUAGAGAUCGGGAGGAACACCAGUGGCGAAGGCGGGUAACUGGACUGCAACUGACGCUGAGGCGCGAAAGUGUGGGGAGCAAACAGGAUUAGAUACCCUGGUAGUCCACACUGUAAACGAUGAAUGUUAGGUGUAAGAGGUAUCGACCCCUUUUGUGCCGGAGUCAACACAAUAAGCAUUCCGCCUGGGGAGUACGGCCGCAAGGUUGAAACUCAAAUGAAUUGACGGGG
This 397-nucleotide ribosomal RNA is filed under the name uncultured bacterium. RNAcentral describes it as "partial 16S ribosomal RNA". It matches the Rfam family "Bacterial small subunit ribosomal RNA", at positions 523 to 918 of the family's 1533-position model. The record is from RNAcentral.